CCUACGGGUGGCUGCAGUGGGGAAUUUUUGGCAAUGGACGAAAGUCUGACCGAGCCAUACCGCGUGAAGGAUGAAGGCCCUUGGGUCGUAAACUUCUGUGGAGAUAUACUAAAAAAAUGAAGAUAUUUCUAGAAAGGAGCUGCAAACUCUGUGCCAGCAGCAGCGGUGAUACAGAGGCUCCAAGCGUUAUCCGGUUUCAUUGGGCGUAAAGCGUUCCGAAGGUUGUUUAGUGUGUUCAAAUUUAAAGGCCGCAGCUUAACUGCGUGUUCGGUUUGAAAACUGCUAGACUUGAGGGGUAAAAAAGUAGUUGGAACUUUGCAAGUAGGGGUGAAAUCCGUUGAUAUGCAAAAGAACGCCAAAAGCGAAAGCAGACUACUGAGUGCCACCUGACACUGCUAGGACGAAAGCGUGGGGAGAGAAUGGGAUUAGAUACCCAUGUAGUC
This 443-nucleotide ribosomal RNA is filed under the name uncultured bacterium. RNAcentral describes it as "bacterial SSU rRNA". It matches the Rfam family "Bacterial small subunit ribosomal RNA", at positions 338 to 795 of the family's 1533-position model. The record is from RNAcentral.